This 67-nucleotide transfer RNA is filed under the name Xenoturbella profunda. RNAcentral's name for it is "tRNA-Pro". The record is from RNAcentral. Lineage: Eukaryota; Metazoa; Xenacoelomorpha; Xenoturbellidae.
AGACCAGUAGUUUACACAAAGAACAUUAACUUUGGGAGUUAAAAGAGACCUUAAAGGCCCUAGUCUA